This 77-nucleotide transfer RNA is filed under the name Boseongicola sp. RNAcentral describes it as "tRNA-Arg". It matches the Rfam family "tRNA". Rfam says of the family: Transfer RNA (tRNA) molecules are approximately 80 nucleotides in length. RNAcentral also lists the same sequence under 1 other name. The record is from RNAcentral. Lineage: Bacteria; Pseudomonadati; Pseudomonadota; Alphaproteobacteria; Rhodobacterales; Paracoccaceae.
GCGCUGGUAGCUCAGUUGGAUAGAGCACUUGACUUCGAAUCAAGUGGUCGGGGGUUCGAGUCCUCCCCAGCGCGCCA